GAGUUUCUUUUUGCUAUUGCUAUCUUUGCAUACUAGGAUCUGAUCCUAGUAUUGUAUCAGGUACUUCAGAUGCAAUUUAUAAUUAGCAUCGUUGAUGCAGGUGAAUGAUACACUUGGUACAUAAGCUGUAGGCAAAUGCUUCGAUAAUGAUGUUGCAGUUGCAGUUGCAGUUAUUUUGGGAACUAACUGGAAAAAAUGCAGUAUAUGUAGACCAUUCCUAAGAGGCAUGGUCUCCUACCUAAAUCAAGAGAGAUGAUUUUGAGAAGAAAUUUCUGGGAUGUAUUUGGGAGAUAUUGUACGUAGAGUCCUCUGCAAAAUGGCUGAAGAAGCUGAUUUUUUUGGUGAUGGUGUUCCACCAAAACUUAAGAUUCGAUUUAUUUUGAGGACUCCAGAAAUGUCUGCCAUUCCCAUAUUUGAGAGUGGUUAGGAGAAAAUUGGAGAACAUGUUUGUUUGUUCCCUCAUGAAGUUGAACUCUUUACUCAUUUUCCUAUCAACAGCACUUUCGUUGUACCGGUUACACUUGCAUAUAUUGAUACUCUAAAGCUGCUAAUUGGUGACAAUUAUGACUGCAUAAUCCAAGAGUGAUGUUGUGCGAUGGAGAUGAUGUCUUGGGGAUGUUUGAAGACUGUGACAUGAUUAAGUCGCCAAAAGGUUAUGUAAUUCCUGUAGGAGAGUGACCAAGUUAGAGUGCAAGGUGACAGUUGAUUGAUUACAAUUUUAGUUUCCAAUAUGCAACUAUGGAUUGCUAUUUAUCUUUCGAUUUAUAUUCAAAUAUUUUAUUUUCUUGAAAAAAUAAUUAAUAAAGUUGAUUUUAGAUCCAGUUAAAA
Papaver somniferum (opium poppy) is the source of this 828-nucleotide long non-coding RNA. RefSeq lists it as uncharacterized. Lineage: Eukaryota; Viridiplantae; Streptophyta; Magnoliopsida; Ranunculales; Papaveraceae. The transcript is spliced from 3 exons. The record is from RefSeq and is a predicted model, not a curated record.